ACGCUGGCGGCAGGCCUAACACAUGCAAGUCGAGCGGCAGCACGGGUACUUGUACCUGGUGGCGAGCGGCGGACGGGUGAGUAAUGCCUAGGAAUCUGCCUGGUAGUGGGGGAUAACGCUCGGAAACGGACGCUAAUACCGCAUACGUCCUACGGGAGAAAGCAGGGGACCUUCGGGCCUUGCGCUAUCAGAUGAGCCUAGGUCGGAUUAGCUAGUUGGUGGGGUAAUGGCUCACCAAGGCGACGAUCCGUAACUGGUCUGAGAGGAUGAUCAGUCACACUGGAACUGAGACACGGUCCAGACUCCUACGGGAGGCAGCAGUGGGGAAUAUUGGACAAUGGGCGAAAGCCUGAUCCAGCCAUGCCGCGUGUGUGAAGAAGGUCUUCGGAUUGUAAAGCACUUUAAGUUGGGAGGAAGGGUUGUAGAUUAAUACUCUGCAAUUUUGACGUUACCGACAGAAUAAGCACCGGCUAACUCUGUGCCAGCAGCCGCGGUAAUACAGAGGGUGCAAGCGUUAAUCGGAAUUACUGGGCGUAAAGCGCGCGUAGGUGGUUUGUUAAGUUGGAUGUGAAAUCCCCGGGCUCAACCUGGGAACUGCAUUCAAAACUGACUGACUAGAGUGUGGUAGAGGGUGGUGGAAUUUCCUGUGUAGCGGUGAAAUGCGUAGAUAUAGGAAGGAACACCAGUGGCGAAGGCGACCACCUGGACCAACACUGACACUGAGGUGCGAAAGCGUGGGGAGCAAAC
This 747-nucleotide ribosomal RNA is filed under the name uncultured bacterium. RNAcentral describes it as "bacterial SSU rRNA". It matches the Rfam family "Bacterial small subunit ribosomal RNA", at positions 33 to 773 of the family's 1533-position model. The record is from RNAcentral.